UGCCCCCUGAGUAUUAACAGUACGUCUGCCUUCCAAGCAGAAAGAUUAGGCAGUUGCCUAAAGGCGGCAA
This 70-nucleotide transfer RNA is filed under the name Paralvinella palmiformis. RNAcentral describes it as "tRNA-Gly". Lineage: Eukaryota; Metazoa; Annelida; Polychaeta; Terebellida; Alvinellidae. The record is from RNAcentral.